UGUAAGCGUAUACCAAAGUUGUUGCAGUUAAAACGCUCGUAGUCGGAUUUUGGCGUGGUACUUCUGAGACCCCUGAUUGGGCGUUGAAGGUAGUCCCGCCUUUGUGGAUGAGGGCGUGGCGGUGAUUUAUUUCAUUGCUGCGUUUUCGCCACUGUUUACUGUGAAAAAAUUAGAGUGUUCAAAGCGAGCGAUUGCCAUGAAUAUAUUAGCAUGGAAUAAUAGAAUAGGACCUGAUCCUGUUUUGUUGGUUUGUCAGUAUUGGGUAAUGAUUAAGAGGGACGGUCGGGGGCAUUUGUAUUCCAGGGUUAGAGGUGAAAUUCUUGGAUCCUUGGAAGACAAACAGCUGCGAAAGCGUCUGCCAAGGACGUUUUCAUUGA
This 377-nucleotide ribosomal RNA is filed under the name uncultured eukaryote. Its description in RNAcentral is "partial 18S ribosomal RNA". It matches the Rfam family "Eukaryotic small subunit ribosomal RNA", at positions 592 to 976 of the family's 1831-position model. The record is from RNAcentral.